This 1214-nucleotide long non-coding RNA is filed under the name Apteryx owenii (little spotted kiwi). Its description in RNAcentral is "lncRNA (ENSAOWG00000014251.1)". Lineage: Eukaryota; Metazoa; Chordata; Aves; Apterygiformes; Apterygidae. The record is from RNAcentral.
NNNNNNNNNNNNNCCAUCCCCUCUGUCACCCCAGGGUGGUGUUACCCCCCAGCGUCACCCCCUCGGUCACCCUGUGAUGUUGUCACCCCCUCUGAGUCCCCCCGUGCCACCUUCUCUGUCCCCCCCAGGGUGGUGUGCCCCACAGCGUCACCCCAGGGCGUUGUCACCCCGUGGUGUCACCUGUCCUGGGUCCCCUGUGCUGCCCCUUUGGUCACCCUGGGGUGUUGUCACCCCAUGGCAUCACCCCCCGGGUACCCCCUGCGCCAUCCAUUCGGUCACAUCGGGGUGGUGUCACCCCAUGGUGUCACCAUGUCCCCUGUGCCACCACCUCUGUCACCCCAGGGUGUUGUCAGCCCAUGGCGUCACCCCUCAGGUACCCCCGUGCCCCCUGCUCCGUUCUCCCAGGGUGUUGUCACCCCACGUGGUCCCCCCGGGGUGUCGUCCUCCCUUGGGGUCACCCCAGGGCCGUCACCCUGCCGGGGCUGCGCUCCUGCCUUGCCGUCACCCGCUGCGGGACUGUGACGCUGUUGCGUGUCCCCUAGGGCGUCACCCCUGGGGUACCCCGUCCCCCCGUGACCCCGCGUCCCCUGGGGGUGUUGCCCCUGGGGAGCCCCAUCCCCUGCGCUGUCCCCCCCCUGCCCUCCGGGCUGUCACCCCCCCUGCCCCACGUCCCCUGGGGCUGUCACCCCCCGGAGCACCACGUCCCCUGGGUUAUUGUCCCCUGUGGGUGUCACCCCCGGUGCGUCCUGUUCCCUGGGUUAUUGUCCCCUGGGGGUGUCACCCCUUGGCACCCCACGUCCCCUGGGGGUGUCACCCCCUGCCCCACAUUCCCUGCGCAUGUCAUCCCCGGUGCGUCCUGUCCCCUGGGUCAUCGUCCCCUGGGGGUGUCACCCUGUGGCACCCCAUGUCCCCCGGGGUUGUCACCGCCUGGUGUGCAACAUCUCCUGGGUCCCCCCUCCGCCCCCAGGGUGUCACCCCCCCUGCCCCACGUCCCCUGCGGGUGUCACCCCCUGGGGUGUCCUGUCCCCUGGGUCAUCGUCACCCCCCGGGGUGUCACCCCCCCUGCCCCACGACCCCUGCGGGUGUCACUCCUUGGUGUGUCCUGUCCCCUGGGUCAUUGUCCCCCCCCGGGGUGUCACCCCCUGAUGCCCCACGUCCCCUGGGGCACCGGGUCACCCCCUGCCCCACGUCCCCUGCAGGUGUCACCCCCUGGG